GACUGUAUUUAGGUGACAUCCAAAUAUGUGAGUGCACCAUUCUGUCAACCAUCCAACUGUUUCGGGUGACAAACAUCUGGUUGCUUGAGAAAAUUUUUUACUUAGUUUCUGGGUGUUUUGGAGUCACUUAACAGAC
This 136-nucleotide microRNA precursor is filed under the name Chlorocebus sabaeus (green monkey). RNAcentral describes it as "miRNA (ENSCSAG00000026768.1)". The record is from RNAcentral. Lineage: Eukaryota; Metazoa; Chordata; Mammalia; Primates; Cercopithecidae.